GCAUGGGCCACUGUGCCUGGCCAGUAAUUCUAAUUUCUAAAAAGUAGAGGAAGCACAAGCCAAUGGGAAAAGUAGAAAGAAUGAAAUUGACAUAAGCAAGAAAAAAGGAGGAGGGGUUCUCCAAACAGGAAAUAAUCCUCAUAAAGAAUGAAGAGGCAGCCAAAAGGAGCCAUAAAGGAGAACCUGAGAUUCUACAGAACCUGAGAUACUGGUCUUUAUCCAUUGUAUUCUAAGGUUUAAGAGCAUAACUUGAACUUAAUUUAAUUUUUUUGUGCUCAAGAAUGCUAGAUUUAUUUUGUUAAUAAACAUAAACAUUAUCAAUGAUUUUUUUUAAAAUACCUUAGUUUUUGUAAUCAUAUCAUAUACAGCAGCUUCAUCAUGUGCCUUUUUUUUAUUGUAAAACAAAAUAAUGGGAGGUGAAUAUAAAUAUAUGAAUAAAAAUAGAAAAGCUAAGUCAGUUUCUAUGAUGGAGAAAGAAUACUUCUGUAUUUAUUUUACAUUUAGAAAAAUAAUGUUCAAUAGUCAAUUCAAUUGUUAUUGGACAUUGCUUUUCCUACUAAAGUUUGAUUACAUAAAAGUGUUCAAAAGAUGUUUACCCAUAAAUUAUAUUUUCCUUCCUGCUACCAAUAUUUUUUUUUUCAAAUUCUCCUUUAAGACUCUUUUUGGCUGCUUCUUCAUUCUUUAUGAGGAUUUUUUUUGUUAAAAUAAAAUCAGCAAAAGAUAAAUCUUCAAUCAUACACGAGUAAGUGACUAAAGUUUAUAUUUUGCAUUAAAAUUAGAGCCUAGAGCUAGUUA
This is a long non-coding RNA of Cercocebus atys (sooty mangabey), 795 nucleotides long. RefSeq lists it as uncharacterized. NCBI's taxonomy places the organism in Eukaryota, Metazoa, Chordata, Mammalia, Primates, Cercopithecidae. The record is from RefSeq and is a predicted model, not a curated record. The transcript is spliced from 3 exons.